Long non-coding RNA from Mugil cephalus (flathead mullet), 5150 nucleotides. RefSeq lists it as uncharacterized. NCBI's taxonomy places the organism in Eukaryota, Metazoa, Chordata, Actinopteri, Mugiliformes, Mugilidae. The transcript is spliced from 3 exons. The record is from RefSeq and is a predicted model, not a curated record.
GUGGUUCAAACGAAAACACGCACAAAAUCAGUCACACAGAGACAAAACACAACGCGCUUUUCUUCCUCCUCACUAUUUGGCAUUCGGCAAAGUGUGUAGCUCGCUGCUUUUCUUUUCGUUUCUUUGUUUUUGUUAAAUCCUUAAACUACCAGUCGAUUAACGGCCCAGUCCGUCAACUCGAAACUCAAUUAGCUCAUGUUUUGACAAUCCAUUAAGUGUUUCAUCCUUUUUCAAGCGUAAUUGCCAAAUAUUUAGUGGUCCCCGCCUCUUAAAUUCGAGGAUAAGCAGCUUUCUCGGUUUUCAUAACGCUGUAAAUCUCGCUUCGGAUCGUUGGAUUGCUGUGUUUUGACUAAUUUAAUUCGAACCCAAGCGUUCAUUUUAAAGUUUCAUUUUAAAGAUCUUGCACAGUUGUGGCAAAAAAAAAACUAAUUGUCCACAGACGGAUUGAACACAAUACUGAAUGAUUUGUUGUCCUGCGCUGAAAAGUUAUGCUUCCUGGUUAAAAAGCUGUUCUCUUCUGACACUGACAGUGGCUUUGCUACGGGUGACGGCUGCCUGGUCUGGUCUAGGGGGACGGUGCGUGAAUGAAUACCAGUUCCAAAAGUUGGUCAGUGUUAUUUAUUUCUUCUGUCAGCGGUUUUAAUUUUGUGGCUGACUUGGUGUAAACCCCUUGAUAUUUUUCUCAUAAGAAAAGAAAAACUUAAAUGAUGCAUAUGUAAUUUCUUUCAGCUUCACUAUAUAAAUGUCCUGGCACACGUGUCACGGAUUAAUAAAAGGAGAGAUCACUGAAACUCAAGCGCACAAAGGAAAACGCGAGAGCGAUUGCACCUCUAACUGAGAGGAAAAUCGCAGGAUGACGGCGGCUGCGCUCAUAACAAGUCGGGAGGACGUCAUUUCUCAUACUAAUUUGGGAGCAGAAACUUUAUCGGGGUUAUGGUGAGAAAUUACAUCCUGGAUUCAUUAGGCUGUCUGUGCCCUCAUUAUCCUCUUAUCUGCGGAGCGAGGCCGCCUUGUAUUUUGGACGGAACACAACACGGGCCUUAUCUGCCUUCCUUCCUUGGAGAAGGGGAUGAUAGCCAGGACCUAUUUUCUGUGAUGACUACGGCGAGAGUGAAACGGGAUCGCUGCUAAUGCUGUUACGCCGAAAAUGAUGCACGCUGCGAUCAAGCCUUUUUUAAACGUCUGAAGGGCUUAUUUUUGCACCGUCGGGAGGAGGGCUGCAAUAAGGCAAACAAACGAAGCAGCCAGACCCCGGCCGUGCCUCUGGGGUUUCACAGUGGCUUGGGCUUGGCCGAGAGCUGAAGAAAAUCAGAGGCCCGGGAUCCUGGCCGUAGGCCUGCACCUUGCUGGGUUCUCCCAGGGCAUGGUGUGAAUACUGAGAGGGCCUUUGGCACACUCCCCCCCCCCCCUCCCUUAUAAGGAUUAUUUAUUUAAAAAGGGAAACAAAAUAAGGCAGCGUGGUAAGCUUCACUCAAUGCACCAACUCAAUCCAGUGUGAAAAGACUAUUGUUGAGAACUGAAAUCAGUUCGUCUUUGCAGCCGAGCGGAUUCAUUGUAGCGGUGUUUAGACGACAGGAAAAGACAGAAGCAGAGGGGAUGAAACAGGAUAUGCAGAUAGAGGAAGGAGGUCUGUAAGACUUCUCUGCCCCGCUGCGGAUAUUAAUGCUGUCCUGACACAAAAACAAUGAUUCCUUUAUACAGUGCUUAAGUGAAGAGGCUAAGUGAGGCAGAAGGAAGUCCGGUAUUAUUAAGCUGUUAGAGCUUCUCUUUAGGGCUGAGUCACCGGCACUCUUAAAAAUUACCUUCCUGCACUGGAGUGAAAGUGGCGGCUGCAGAUCAGCCCCAUGCUUCAGCCCCACUACCUGCUUCUUUAAUAGCAGCUCCGUUAUAUUGGAGACAAGAUUACGAGUGAAGUUCCAGGCAAAUGUCAGGUCGCCCCGAGCUAAACGCUAUUGGCUGCAGCCUGACGAGGUUCACAGAAUCGCGUCGGGCCACGUUCCACGCGCAGAUCACAGCGCCAAGACAUGACCUGAGAAACUGAUAUGAUUCAGCAAAGGGAGCAGAGCAAACCUCGAUGUGAUGCUCCGGCAAAACAGGAAGACAGAGGGAUCCGCUGGUAUUUCCUGUGAUGUUGCCCUGGAUCUGGUAGGCGGCCUGAUCGAACAAGUCCAGGUAGUCCUCCACCGGGUAUCGAUCAUGGAAGCCCUCGCUGAGACGAAUGAUGCCUGACGGAUAAAGACUUUGAAGAAACAGCUGAUGAGCGGAUUGCGAACGCCAGUGCCGGCAGAAGCAAUGCAUUUUACUGUACGUUCUCGUCUGCGAAACCAUCUGCUCAUCCUCGCCGCCGCGACCUCUCAGAGGCAGGAAGUGGAUUUUGGUUGAAGUCCACCAAUAACACAGGAAGUGCUGUCGGGGCAGGAGCAUGACAGAGGCAGUUGGAAGGAGGAACAAAGGGGUUGUCUUUGCUGUGUCAGCUGGAAAAAAUAAAUAUGUUUUCCCACCACAGCCACUCACAGUAAUUAAAGUUCAGCAGGAGGCCACUGUGAGGGUGGUACACUCACUCACACGGCGUGUGACACUGGAGCAGCCUCCCGGUUGGUUGAGGAACACCGGUGACAAAUAGCUGCUGAUGAUGCUGACACUGCCUACUCUGAUAUCAAGGAUAUUUUAAUUUUCUGAGGGGAUCCCUCUGCAGAAACAAAAGGAUAUAUAAGCAUUUGGAUGUAGUAUAAAUUAUUUACCAUUCCUUUAUGGUGCAUCCAUUACUUAGUGUCUUAUUUUGCUCUGAAAUGAGUAAAAGUUGCAGAAGUUCCCAGAAAUGUGUGUCACUUUGCUUUCACUCUUCUGUCCAGUUCAUCUCAAUCCAGCUCCAUUGGGUUAAAGUCUAGAGACUCCAUGUUUUCAAAGUUUCCAUCUGUUUUUUUAUCAUGAGGUAGUUCUGGUACAGUUUGAGCUAAAGUUUUGGGUGACUGCCUUGUUGUAGGAUGAAACCGUGACCAACUGUACCAGAGGAAACUUUUGACUGCUAGUGCACUUGUACUCGAAACGGCUCUGCAACUGCUCAGGGUUAGCAACCAAUGUUGGCUGCAAAGGUGUCAGGAGUAGCUCUAACCUCUAAGCGGUAACGGGAAAAUCUGCCUUGUCUGUGUCUGCUUUAUAGUAAAAGCAACGCUGCGUGUGUCACUUGUGUGAAGCAGCCAGCAGGAUUCGGUGAGAAAUGAAUCACAGCUACACAAGGAAGUGUUAAACUUCAGCGUGUUUGUGCUGGAAAUGUAAUUUCUCAAACUCGAUUUUCAACCGUAUUUUGUACGUUUGAUAUGGUUCAAAACCAACAAAAAUAAUAGAUAACUCGUGUAAAUAAAUGCUUGUAGAAGUUGUGAUAAAAACGUAAAAUAUGAGCUUUAACUGUGGAUUUGUAUUUAAAUAAAUGAAUUAAAUUGGAAAAAAGCAUCAUUGCCGAGUGCAAAUUAACCGAGAACCCAGGCGAGCUGCUGAGGUGUGAAAUGAAUCCUUACACCAACAUCUGGAAAUAGGAUUGUAUGUCUAAAAUGUACUGCAAAGAGCAGUGACAAUAAAACAAGCAGGGGCCCCCUGACCUGUCAGGUAUGUCACCACCUUCCCCAAACCCCCGAGUUUCUGCUCCCGGGUACAACCAUGUAAAUCACAACCUUGAAGAUAAGCAUUUACUGUGGAUUAGAGUGGAUUCAUUUGUCAUAAUACCCAUAUCAUCCAUCACAACCAUCCACAUCGGAUACACUGUCGACCAAAGGAUCAGAAUCUAAUCUCCCUUCGUCUUCCACCCAAAGGUCCUGACUGUGACCUGGGUGAUGAGCCGCCGGGUCAAAUUAUGAACACAGCCAUCGGACGCUCCUCAGUUCCUCACUGCACAGGAGGCUGGUGAGAAGCGUGGCCUUUGCCCUCGCGUUCAAAACCGCGACUCAGCUGCGAUUCUCACACCGAGCCCCAGUUUCCUCCGGCUAAUCUUUUAUUCAUUAUUUUAAUUUCACAUCGCAUCCUCCCACGGCCGGCGCUCCUUCCGAAGGUGGAUAAGUGCUUAUGAUGUCGUCAUUAAAACAACGGCUGCCAUUUAAAUUAUAGAUUGUGGUAACGGAUACGUGGCGAGAAGCACGCCCUGUUCCGGUCUGUGCACACAAUGAGGAUAGAUUGCCACUGAAGAUGACAAGAGGGAAGGUGAAGGCUCACGCGUCCUAUCUCGGAUGAAGAGUCUUCUACAUCAGUCAAGGGCAGUAAUUUUAUUUGAAGUGAUACAUCCGUAACACAAUAAACAAUCACGGGUUUCGUGUGCGAAUGAAAUGGAGCUUCAGGUUUGAGGGGCAUAUGCAAAGCGGUGCAGCAAUUGCGCAGCGGUUACCAAUGAAUAAUUUAUCAGGAUGAACUUAGAUGUCUCAUGUAACUUAUUACCUAAUUUUAGAAAAUGUAUACCCAUAUGGAUUUUGGAAAUAUCUUUGUGGGUAUUUUUCCCAGCUAUUCUCUUCCUUUUGGCUCUCCUUGCCGUCACUUGGUUUCUCUAUGGAAUCUUUUGUCAGUCACAUGUUAUCUUGUUUGAUAGAUUUACUUUGUGAAAUGUUAAUCUGACACAGUUUGAGUUGUAGGUUGAGAUAGGGUCGGCGGUACACCGGUUCAUACCGAAUCCCAGUAUAUAUUUUUUUUUGUUUUGUUUUGAUAUGAAUUUUUAAUAUACUGACAUACCGUUCGGAAAGUUGUGCUGUGUCAUGGUUUGUCUGUCUUUUAUUUUGUGAAUCAGGUUUUGUGUUUCCUCUUUUAUUUUGCCAAGUUUCUUAGUUUCCUGUCGUUCAUGUUUCCUUGUGGUUAUGUUAUGUCAUGCUGUGUUUCCUGUUUUAUUUUGUUAAGGUCUGCUGUUCCUGUCUGUGGUCCUAGUUUGUCCAUUGAUUGUUCAUUGGUUUCACCUGUGUUGAUUGUCAUCAUGUGUUUCACCUGUGUCUUGUCUGCCCUGACCCCUCUUGUGUAUAUAUAGCCCUGCUUUCCCUUUGUUCCUUGUCACGUUGUUAAUGUCAUCCCCAUGUCACCAUGGUCCUUGUUAUCAUAUCAAGUCAAGUCAGGUCAUGAUUCUUUAGAUUUUUGUAAUUUGUAUUUCCUGCCUUGCGCAGCGAUUUUUUUGUUUGAUUGUU